GAUAAGCAACACACUUUUCCUUUCUACUUUAAGGGUGCAAUGUCAACAAUAUCACAGUGUCCUCCAAGCUUGACCAGAUCUCUCCAGUGAAGUACAACUUAAUCCCAUUUGGUGUCAAGUUUUUACAAUAAAACUGUCACUUUAUAAUG
Long non-coding RNA from Melanotaenia boesemani (Boeseman's rainbowfish), 149 nucleotides. RefSeq lists it as uncharacterized. The record is from RefSeq and is a predicted model, not a curated record. NCBI's taxonomy places the organism in Eukaryota, Metazoa, Chordata, Actinopteri, Atheriniformes, Melanotaeniidae. The transcript has 3 exons.